Molecule: long non-coding RNA, 1103 nt
Organism: Cyprinus carpio (common carp)
Lineage: Eukaryota; Metazoa; Chordata; Actinopteri; Cypriniformes; Cyprinidae
Source: Ensembl
GGUGCUCAAGAAACAUUAUCAGAGUUGCAAACAUGAAAACUUUUUUUUUUUUUGUGGAAACCAUGUUACUUUUUUUAUGAUUCUUUUAUGUAUAGGUUUAAAGUUUAAAAUAACAGGAUUUAUUUGAAAUAGAAAUAUUUUGUAACAUUAUAAAUGUUUUUACAGUCACUUUUGCUAAAUAAAAGUGUUGAUUUAAAAAAUAUUACUUACCCCAGUAUAUAAUAAUAAUUUAAAAUAAUAAUUUAUAUAUGCAAAUAUUUAAACCUAUCUCUGAUCCUCUCUACCCACUUCCUACACAGGAGUUGCUUGUAGGAACAAUGUUUUGAUAUACAGUAUAUUUAAUUAUACACAAUUUAAGUGUGUGUGUGUGUGUGUGUGUGUAUAUAUGUGGUAGGCUAUUUCNNNNNNNNNNNNNNNNNNNNNNNNNNNNNNNNNNNNNNNNNNNNNNNNUACAUAAAUACACACACACACACACACACACACACACACACACACACACACACACACACACACACACACACACACACACACACACACACACACACACACACAGAAUUAUAAAAGAGAUUUGAUGUGUGAUAUAUUUUAAGGAAACUUUUAAAAACCAAAACACAAAUCAUAAUAUGUUCUCCUUUCUGUUAACUCUGUUCCCUUUUGAAUUCUGUUUGUUCAUGCAGGAACGUGCGUUUGGUGAACUGGAGAAGAACAGUGAUAAACAGAGGUUCAGUCAGUCCCAGAAACAGACGGAGGCUCCAUCACACUUCCACCACCUGCUGUCAGCCCUUCACAGACACCUGCUGGCCCACUGCUACAUCCACAUAGGCGAUGAGGAUGACAGUAGCGUACUGCUGCUACAUAAGCACCUGUGCCUGCUGCUGCCUUACGCAGCCGAGACCUUCAGGAGAUCCACCAUUCUUCUGGAGGAGAGCACACUGGACAAACACGUCAUCAAGAAACUACACAGUAAGAACACACAUUAUGCAUCAUUCAUCCGUCCAUCUAACCAUCCAUGCAUCCAGCCAUCUGUCUGUCACUCCCUUUAUUCAUUCAUCCAUUCAUCUGGAGUAGCAGUUCAUCUUUCCACUCACACGUCCAUGUAUGUA